CUUACACAUGCAAGUCGAACGAUGAAAGAGAGCUUGCUCUCUGGAUUAGUGGCGAACGGGUGAGUAACACGUGAGUAACCUGCCCCUCACUCUGGGAUAAGCGUUGGAAACGACGUCUAAUACCGGAUACGAGCUUCAGCCGCAUGGCUAGGAGCUGGAAAGAAUUUUGGUGAGGGAUGGACUCGCGGCCUAUCAGGUAGUUGGUGAGGUAACGGCUCACCAAGCCGACGACGGGUAGCCGGCCUGAGAGGGUGACCGGCCACACUGGGACUGAGACACGGCCCAGACUCCUACGGGAGGCAGCAGUGGGGAAUAUUGCACAAUGGGCGAAAGCCUGAUGCAGCAACGCCGCGUGAGGGACGACGGCCUUCGGGUUGUAAACCUCUUUUAGUAGGGAAGAAACGAAAGUGACGGUACCUGCAGAAAAAGCACCGGCUAACUACGUGCCAGCAGCCGCGGUAAUACGUAGGGUGCAAGCGUUGUCCGGAAUUAUUGGGCGUAAAGAGCUCGUAGGCGGUUUGUCGCGUCUGCUGUGAAAUCCGGAGGCUCAACCUCCGGCCUGCAGUGGGUACGGGCAGACUAGAGUGCGGUAGGGGAGAUUGGAAUUCCUGGUGUAGCGGUGGAAUGCGCAGAUAUCAGGAGGAACACCGAUGGCGAAGGCAGAUCUCUGGGCCGUAACUGACGCUGAGGAGCGAAAGCAUGGGGAGCGAACAGGAUUAGAUACCCUGGUAGUCCAUGCCGUAAACGUUGGGAACUAGAUGUAGGGACCAUUCCACGGUUUCUGUGUCGCAGCUAACGCAUUAAGUUCCCCGCCUGGGGAGUACGGCCGCAAGGCUAAAACUCAAAGGAAUUGACGG
This 857-nucleotide ribosomal RNA is filed under the name uncultured bacterium. RNAcentral describes it as "bacterial SSU rRNA". It matches the Rfam family "Bacterial small subunit ribosomal RNA", at positions 48 to 916 of the family's 1533-position model. The record is from RNAcentral.